UGCGAGUCGAACGAGACCUUCGGGUCUAGUGGCGCACGGGUGCGUAACUCGUGGGAAUCUGCCCUUAGGUACGGAAUAACUCAGAGAAAUUUGUGCUAAUACCGUAUGAUGUCGAAAGACCAAAGAUUUAUCGCCUAAGGAUGAGCCCGCGUAAGAUUAGCUUGUUGGUGAGGUAAGAGCUCACCAAGGCGACGAUCUUUAGCUGGUCUGAGAGGAUGAUCAGCCACACUGGGACUGAGACACGGCCCAGACUCCUACGGGAGGCAGCAGUGGGGAAUAUUGGACAAUGGGCGAAAGCCUGAUCCAGCAAUGCCGCGUGAGUGAUGAAGGCCUUAGGGUUGUAAAGCUCUUUUACCAGGGAUGAUAAUGACAGUACCUGGAGAAUAAGCUCCGGCUAACUCCGUGCCAGCAGCCGCGGUAAUACGGAGGGAGCUAGCGUUGUUCGGAAUUACUGGGCGUAAAGAGUACGUAGGCGGUUAUUCAAGUCAGAGGUGAAAGCCUGGAGCUCAACUCCAGAACUGCCUUUGAAACUAGAUAGCUAGAAUUAUGGAGAGGUUAGUGGAAUUCCGAGUGUAGAGGUGAAAUUCGUAGAUAUUCGGAAGAACACCAGUGGCGAAGGCGACUAACUGGACAUAUAUUGACGCUGAGGUACGAAAGCGUGGGGAGCAAACAGGAUU
Molecule: ribosomal RNA, 677 nt
Filed under: uncultured Sphingomonadaceae bacterium
Lineage: Bacteria; Pseudomonadati; Pseudomonadota; Alphaproteobacteria; Sphingomonadales; Sphingomonadaceae
Description: bacterial SSU rRNA
Rfam family: Bacterial small subunit ribosomal RNA
Source: RNAcentral